UUUAAGUAGAUCUUUGAAUGCUUUUGUGGAAGGUGAAUCAGUGAGAAAGAUGGUACUUAUGUUUGUUUGGUUUAAAAUAAAUUGCUGGUAAUAGCAAAGGAGUUCUAAGUUACAGAAAAAAAGUACCAUAAGUGUGUUACUGGACUUAUGAUGAAAUUUCAAGUAAAGGAUAGGAAUACCAUACUUCUUGCAGUACUGCCUGGAUUCAAGGGCAUGUUAUAUGUGGGCUUCUGACACUGUGCUGCUAUGAAACCUUCUUCAGAUGGGCCUUACUCAUAGACUGGGGUACACAAGAUGUGAUACAGCCCUUUUGUGAGGGGAAGCCUAACCUGAUUGUAUCUGACCAAAACAACAGCCAUUGUGAAUGUCUGCACCUGUUCAUGUCCAACGCUAAUUCUCUUUUCUGUUGUAAGGCUGGCAAUUCAGCAUCAUCCACUGAAGGAUCCACAAAUAAUAUCAAGUACUGGAGAGCCAAAGACUACUGCAGGUCCAGGGCAAUUCUGUUAUGUUUGAGAAGCAGACUAUCUUUGAGGAGAGCUUCAUCAACCUGAAGAAAGUGCCUACACCAGGAUUUCUCCUGCUAUAUUUUUAGAGAGCUUGGUGUUUCUCUAGUAAGGUGCUGCUUCAUGAAACAGAUGGAAAGGGGGGAGCAAAGGUUUGCAUUUCCUUGAACAGAGAAGUGGAUUAAUACCAGGUAUUUAACUACCCGCAGAGGUUCAAAGGAUUCCAAAGAACUGCAUGAAAGAUAUCCAAGGCAUGCAUCAUUUGUUCCUCUUGUUCCCUAAGGGAAGAUAUACUACUUGCAUCAGCUGUACCCUCCUUGGAACAGGGUGAAAGCCACUUAAUAAGUGGGAUUCAGCAGCUGAAGCACAGGUGUGUAGUGAGUGACAUUGCAGCUCCUGGUGUUCAAGAUAUCGAUGUCAGGAUGGCCAAAAUGACACAGGGCUGACAAGAAGACCAUAUCCUUCCUGUAAGGCAUGUAAAGCCGAGACAGAAUACACUCUAUAGUAUCUAAAAUGUUGCUUAGAUUCAUCUUAAAGAUAAUUUAGUAUAAAAACCUUUCUGCUCUCAUAUUUUUUCUGCAACUUCUCUAUUUUCAUAAGCUGUUCUGUGAAAAACAAACAGGGAAAAAAAAGCAAUAGAAAUUAAGGUUGAAAAUCAAAAUAAAUAAAAAAUUAAAGAGCAGUAAAAUGAAAGAAAGAACAAAACACCACACAAGCCAAUGGACUUUGGCCUCUCCAACCCCUACAAAAGGUGUUCAAGAUUCCAGAAAGUUAGGAAUUUGAAAAAAUAUUUCAGGGAAAGUAUUUCUUUUCUGCAAACCUGAAAUGUAUGCUAUUACAGACCUGUUUUUUUUCAGUUAAUAUGUUAAAUUGUUUUUUGUAAAGUCAAUGGAAGACUAUCAUUUUAUUAUUUUCUAGUAUCUGAAUAUAGUUUCUUGAUUCAGUAUUUCUGUUACUUUGCUCAGUUUCUACUGCUAUGCAAUAUUGAAUAGCUGCUCUCAGACCGUUUUAAUUUUAUUUAUUUUUUUUUAAUCCUGUGUGUGUUUGUUUCCCAACAUAUAUUUUAGAGAGAAUUUGUCUUGGACCAAAAACUUGCCUCUGAAAACUAUCAAGUCUUGUUAAAAAAGUUCUGAAUUCUCCUAAUCAGAAAGUAUGUCCUGUCCUAUAUACUUGUUGCUUAAUAUAAAGAAAAACAAAUGUAUCUGUUCAAACCAGUCAUUGUCUGAACCUGACAUUGUCUUGAUGAUAUUUUCAUACAUCAUUUUGUACCUUCAUACAUCUCCAUGCUUUCAAACAUUGUCUGUACUUUCCAAUGUAUUUUGUGUGUUCUGGCAAUUAAGGUUCAAGGUCAUUCUGAAAUUCUGCUCAGUAUAUCACAGAAUUUGUGUAGUGAAUACUUCCCUCUGAGUACUUAUAUGAAUUUAUUUUCAAAAUUGUCUUGUAAAGCCUAAUUCUGUAUUUAUAUAUAUGUAUA
Anas platyrhynchos (mallard) is the source of this 1977-nucleotide non-coding RNA. The record is from RefSeq and is a predicted model, not a curated record. Lineage: Eukaryota; Metazoa; Chordata; Aves; Anseriformes; Anatidae.